GCCUACUGUUUGUUAACCACAGAUUGAAAUUAUAUUGUAUAUAUACUGUCUGUGAGACAGGCUACAGAUCAUGCUACACCUAUCAAAAAUGCAUUCAGCUUAGUGUGAAAAAGAAGUUUUAUAUGAAACAAAUAAACUAUAGAAAUCCAUACUGCAAAGAGCUCCGAAGGUAAUCAUAAGUUGCAGCACACCCUCGAAGUUUCUUCUCCAUUCAUAGGCCAUUUCUUCUGCGCAUGGCUUUUUAUGAUUCACUGCGGGGAGGUAGCCAGGUAGGAGAAGAAAAACCAAAAAAAAUUCACAUAUCAGCACUUGUUAUGAAUGGGAUUUGAUCUUCUUCUAACUCUUCUUUUGUUUGACUGCAUCGGAACAAACAUAACUGAAGGCGUGGGUGCUACGCUCAAUGGCUCAGGCAGUUCUUGAACUUCAACAUUCUCUAGAACCCGCGGAUGUCUUAUAAACCUGAGAGCAAGAUCUCUGCUUCUGAGGCCAGAGACUUGUUCUGGUUGAGUGAAUAGAAACCCUAUAAAUACAACAAAAAUGAUCAUUCUGCAAGAAGACCUAUUCAUGUUUAAUGUUUCUAGCAGACAACUACAAGAUUGAACACGACUGAGCUCUACACUUGUUCAAGAUAAUAAGAUGAAGGUAAGUGGCAUCUCUUUCUGCAGUCUCUUUC
This 673-nucleotide long non-coding RNA is filed under the name Daucus carota (carrot). RNAcentral's name for it is "long non-coding RNA (DCAR_LNC004377)". The record is from RNAcentral. Lineage: Eukaryota; Viridiplantae; Streptophyta; Magnoliopsida; Apiales; Apiaceae.